RNAcentral lists this ribosomal RNA (447 nucleotides) under uncultured bacterium. RNAcentral's name for it is "bacterial SSU rRNA". It matches the Rfam family "Bacterial small subunit ribosomal RNA", at positions 330 to 793 of the family's 1533-position model. The record is from RNAcentral.
GCCAGACUCCUACGGGAGGCAGCAGUGGGGAAUAUUGCACAAUGGGGGAAACCCUGAUGCAGCAACGCCGCGUGAGUGAAGAAGUAUUUCGGUAUGUAAAGCUCUAUCAGCAGGGAAGAAGAAGGACGGUACCUGACUAAGAAGCCCCGGCUAACUACGUGCCAGCAGCCGCGGUAAUACGUAGGGGGCGAGCGUUAUCCGGAUUUACUGGGUGUAAAGGGAGCGUAGACGGUUAAUCAAGUCUGAAGUGAAAGCCCGCGGCUCAACUGCGGAACGGCUUUGGAAACUGAGUAACUGGAGUGCUGGAGGGGCAGGCGGAAUUCCUGGUGUAGCGGUGAAAUGCGUAGAUAUCAGGAGGAACACCGGUGGCGAAGGCGGCCUGCUGGACAGUAACUGACGUUGAGGCUCGAAAGCGUGGGGAGCAAACAGGAUUAGAUACCCUAGUAU